AACGCACAUUGCGCCCCCUGGUAUUCCGGGGGGCAUGCCUGUUCGAGCGUCAUUACAACCCUCAAGCUCUGCUUGGUGUUGGGCCCCGCCGCCCCGGCGGGCCCUAAAAUCAGUGGCGGUGCCGUCCGGCUCCGAGCGUAGUAAUUCUUCUCGCUCUGGAGGUCCGGGUGUGUGCUCGCCAGCAACCCCCAAUUUUUUUCAGGUUGACCUCGGAUCAGGUAGGGAUACCCGCUGAACUUAA
Molecule: unclassified non-coding RNA, 241 nt
Filed under: Humicola sp.
Lineage: Eukaryota; Fungi; Ascomycota; Sordariomycetes; Sordariales; Chaetomiaceae
Also listed under: 3 other names
Description: partial contains 5.8S ribosomal RNA, internal transcribed spacer 2, and large subunit ribosomal RNA
Rfam family: 5.8S ribosomal RNA (bases 1-52)
Source: RNAcentral